This 465-nucleotide ribosomal RNA is filed under the name uncultured bacterium. Its description in RNAcentral is "partial 16S ribosomal RNA". It matches the Rfam family "Bacterial small subunit ribosomal RNA", at positions 338 to 795 of the family's 1533-position model. The record is from RNAcentral.
CCUACGGGAGGCAGCAGUAGGGAAUCUUCCACAAUGGGCGAAAGCCUGAUGGAGCAACGCCGCGUGGGUGAAGAAGGUCUUCGGAUCGUAAAACCCUGUUGUUAGAGAAGAAAGUGCGUGAGAGUAACUGUUCACGUGUCGACGGUAUCUAACCAGAAAGCCACGGCUAACUACGUGCCAGCAGCCGCGGUAAUACGUAGGUGGCAAGCGUUAUCCGGAUUUAUUGGGCGUAAAGGGAACGCAGGCGGUCUUUUAAGUCUGAUGUGAAAGCCUUCGGCUUAACCGGAGUAGUGCAUUGGAAACUGGGAGACUUGAGUGCAGAAGAGGAGAGUGGAACUCCAUGUGUAGCGGUGAAAUGCGUAGAUAUAUGGAAGAACACCAGUGGCGAAAGCGGCUCUCUGGUCUGUAACUGACGCUGCGGUUCGAAAGCGUGGGUAGCAAACAGGAUUAGAUACCCGAGUAGUC